RNAcentral lists this long non-coding RNA (888 nucleotides) under Ananas comosus (pineapple). Its description in RNAcentral is "long non-coding RNA (ACOM_LNC017963)". Lineage: Eukaryota; Viridiplantae; Streptophyta; Magnoliopsida; Poales; Bromeliaceae. The record is from RNAcentral.
GUUCUUCACCUCUUCGGGUGUGUCACCGGCGCAAGAGAGAAGACAAGAGAAUUUUGGAAAAAAGAAAGGAAUUAGGGUUAGAAAGAGCUGGUGAAGUACUGAAGUUAAAUGUUGAUGGAAUAUUAGCCGUUAGAUCUUGAUCCAACGGUUGAAAUUUUAAAUAUAGGUAGGCCUAUUUAUAAAAAAGUUGGGCUUCAUUUUUAAGUUGGGCUAAAAAUUUUAAAAAUAAUAAUCUAUAUUAUUUAUUUAUAUACAAAUAUAAUUAUAUAUAUAUAUAAAUAUAAUAUAUAUAUAAAUUAUAUUAAUAUAUAUGUAUUUUGGUUUAGACUAUAAAAGUGUAGGUAUUUUUUUUUUGCCUUUAGAUUCAUAUUUAAAGGCUUGAAUUUUUUUUUAUAUAUUAUAUCAUAUUAAAUUUGUUCGGGUUCGGGUUCGGGUUCGGGUUCGGGUUCGGAUUCGGGUCGGGUUCGGGUCGGGUACAGUCAAUAUCCAUAUCCAAAUCCAUAUCUGUCGGGUUUUUAUUUUUGAUAUCCAUAUCCAAACCAUAUCCAUUUACAUCGGAUAAAAUCCGCUCCGUUCGGGUUUGGAUUCGGAUAAAAUUCGGGUGUCCAUAUCCAUUUACAUCCCUAGUUGCGCAUUCCCGAUGCAACUGUACACUGCAACCAGCCGUGCCAAUCAAUACUAGAAAAACGCCCGCACUUCUACAACGGCGGAAGACCGCUUGACUUAAUAUUUGUGAGGAGAUUUAAAUUUAGGUCUCAAAAAUUUAUUUUAUUUAUUUACAUCUAAUGCAAAUAAAAAUAAUCCGCGCAUAAAAAUAUAAUUAAAUUGGUGAUUAUCAUGGAUCUAAGAAGUGGAUUCGGACUCGAGCCACUGAGUCGAAAUCGGGGU